GACGUAGGGCGCGAGCGUUGUCCGGAUUUAUUGGGCGUAAAGAGCUCGUAGGCGGCUCAUCGCGUCUGCCGUGAAAACCUGUGGCUCAACUACAGGCUUGCGGUUGAUACGGGUGGGCUGGAGUUCGGUAGGGGAGACUGGAAUUCCUGGUGUAGCGGUGAAAUGCGCAGAUAUCAGGAGGAACACCAAUGGCGAAGGCAGCUCGCUGGAACGGUACUGACGCUGAGGCGCGAAAGCGUGGGGAGCGAACAGG
This 253-nucleotide ribosomal RNA is filed under the name uncultured bacterium. Its description in RNAcentral is "partial 16S ribosomal RNA". It matches the Rfam family "Bacterial small subunit ribosomal RNA", at positions 524 to 776 of the family's 1533-position model. The record is from RNAcentral.